UGGGGAAUAUUGCACAAUGGGCGCAAGCCUGAUGCAGCCAUGCCGCGUGUGUGAAGAAGGCCUUCGGGUUGUAAAGCACUUUCAGCGAGGAGGAAGGUGGUGAACUUAAUACGUUCAUCAAUUGACGUUACUCGCAGAAGAAGCACCGGCUAACUCCGUGCCAGCAGCCGCGGUAAUACGGAGGGUGCAAGCGUUAAUCGGAAUUACUGGGCGUAAAGCGCACGCAGGCGGUUUGUUAAGUCAGAUGUGAAAUCCCCGGGCUCAACCUGGGAACUGCAUUUGAAACUGGCAAGCUAGAGUCUCGUAGAGGGGGGUAGAAUUCCAGGUGUAGCGGUGAAAUGCGUAGAGAUCUGGAGGAAUACCGGUGGCGAAGGCGGCCCCCUGGACGAAGACUGACGCUCAGGUGCGAAAGCGUGGGGAGCAAACAGGAUUAGAUACCCCUGGUAGUCCCACGCUGUAAAACGAUGUCGAUUUUGGAGGUUGUGCCCUUGAGGCGUGGCUUCCGGAGCUAACGCGUUAAAUCGACCGCCUGGGGAGUACGGCCGCAAGGUUAAAACUCAAAUGAAUUG
This 569-nucleotide ribosomal RNA is filed under the name uncultured bacterium. RNAcentral describes it as "partial 16S ribosomal RNA". It matches the Rfam family "Bacterial small subunit ribosomal RNA", at positions 355 to 912 of the family's 1533-position model. The record is from RNAcentral.